GUUGUUUUCAAUGUCCCUGAGGCUUCUGUGUCGGUUUCCUGAGGAUUCCUUAGCCCUGUGCUUUCUCAUACCUGCCUGGACUGUCGGAUGAAUGGCUUAUCCUCCACUGAAGGGAAUGUGCACACAUCCUUCUCCCCAGUAUGCAGAGGUUCCUGGAGCAGGAAUCAAUCCAGCAUCACAGCAGCAACCCAAGCUACCGAAUAUAACAACACCUGAUCCUUAACCUGCUGUGCCAAAAGAGAACUCCAAUAUUUCAGGGGUUUGGUUUGUUUGUUUUACAAAUUGAAGGUUUGUGCAACUCUGCAUCUACCAAGUCUGUCAGCAUCAUUUUCCCAAAAAGGACCUACUGUUGGUUUCUGAUUUGCAACCAAGAACCCGGACUGAUAUAUUUAGCCUACGCCCGGUUCAAGAGAAGCUUAAGCUGCUGAGAUAGACAAACACCCAUUCUGCUCUUUUUCAUCUGCCAGAGAAGAAUUUGCUACAUAAACCUCCGUGGGUCACCUGCUGCAAUUUUUAGAAACCCAUAGACUCCUUGCACUAAUGCAUUCCCAGAGUCUCUUCACAAGGAAGGAUUUUAAACAGUUUUUUGUGUCUCCCUCCCUGCUCCGGGAGCCCUUGCUCCUCUGAGUGAGCUGUUUGUUUGAUUUGUCACCUGAACCACAUGACUGUGGAGAGACACAGCUCAGCAGCCAUAGCUGUAGCUCAGCCUCUCUACAGCUGACAGGAAAGAUAUGUGAAAUAAGACACACAGGGAUGGCAAUAAAAUCAAGAAGGCUGCAAGAUGAAAGCAGAUCACUCCCCAAACUCAUUUGUAUGGUGGAUUCAGGAAACUGUACCGCACUCAUCCAGAAGCUCAACCUGAACAAGUCACUGGCGUUUAGAGCCUGUCCCCUUUUCUCCUGAUGCUUCACUACAAGACACAGACUCUGUUUGCAUUUUCAAACAGUACCUCGCCUAAUAAAAAUACGAUGCUUAGCAACAGAAAUGGACUACAAGUAUAUUUAGCCGAAUGAAAGCUGUAUAAAAACACACCGGACGAUAUGAUGGACACGGUUGGCAAUUCCUCUCGUCCUUUUCUGACAGUAUCACCUGGUGGAUGUGCUGAUGUUGAAGAGCCGCCUCAGUGUGAGGUGAUUUGGUUUGUCAGGGGAACAAGAAGGCAGAGGCUCAGACAAGAAGGCUUCUCUCUCUUCCUUCUCCUCUGUUACCGGUUUGGAAUUUAUAGAAUUCCUGCCUACCUUAGGGACUCGCUCUACCUUUGAAUAUUAGAUCUUCAAUUUUGCUUUUGAAAUUAGAAUGAUUAUGGAAUCAGAAAAAUAAGGCAGCUGAGUGUUAUUGGGGACCUGGAAGAAGGGACCUAAGAGAACAAGUGGACUCUCCAAACAUCGGCAGUGACAGGCCGUGUGGAUCGUCUAUGCCCUUGAUAGGAUGUGAUUAGGGCAGGACUUGCCCUCUGUGUUUUCCCUCCCUCGAACCCAGAACCCCAGGCUAAGCGUGAGAAAAACAUCAAGCAAGUCUUAUUGGAGGAACAUUCUACUAAAUGCCUGGCCAGUAUUCCUCAGGUCAUCAAAAACAAAGAAAGCCUGGGGAAUGUCAGAGCCAGGAAGAACCUAAGGAGGCAUGACAAUAUCAUGUAAUGUCCUGGGCAGGACCUUGGAACAGAAAAAGGGCAUUCGGGGGAAACUGAAGAAAUCAGGAUAAACUAUGGACUUAGGUUUAUGAUAAUAUAUCAGUAUUGAUUCAUUGAUUAUAACAAAUCCCAUGUGGGAUGCUAACAAUAGGGGCAACUGGGCGUGAGGUAUAUGGAAACUCUGUACUAUCUUCGCAGUAAUUCUGCAAACCUUUUUUUUUUUUCUUUUCUUUUCUAGGGCUGCACCCACGGAAUGUGGAGGUUCCAGGC
Molecule: non-coding RNA, 1900 nt
Organism: Sus scrofa (pig)
Lineage: Eukaryota; Metazoa; Chordata; Mammalia; Artiodactyla; Suidae
Source: RefSeq, a predicted model, not a curated record